GACGAACGCUGGCGGCGUGCUUAACACAUGCAAGUCGAACGGAAAGGCCCUGCUUUUGUGGGGUGCUCGAGUGGCGAACGGGUGAGUAACACGUGAGUAACCUGCCCUUGACUUUGGGAUAACUUCAGGAAACUGGGGCUAAUACCGGAUAGGAGCUCCUGCUGCAUGGUGGGGGUUGGAAAGUUUCGGCGGUUGGGGAUGGACUCGCGGCUUAUCAGCUUGUUGGUGGGGUAGUGGCUUACCAAGGCUUUGACGGGUAGCCGGCCUGAGAGGGUGACCGGCCACAUUGGGAAUGAGAUACGGCCCAGACUCCUACGGGAGGCAGCAGUGGGGAAUAUUGCACAAUGGGCGGAAGCCUGAUGCAGCAACGCCGCGUGCGGGAUGACGGCCUUCGGGUUGUAAACCGCUUUCGCCUGUGACGAAGAGUGAGUGACGGUAAUGGGUAAAGAAGCACCGGCUAACUACGUG
Molecule: ribosomal RNA, 468 nt
Filed under: uncultured bacterium
Lineage: Bacteria
Description: partial 16S ribosomal RNA
Rfam family: Bacterial small subunit ribosomal RNA
Source: RNAcentral